GAAAUGCGAUAAGUAAUGUGAAUUGCAGAAUUCAGUGAAUCAUCUAAUCUUUGAACGCACCUUGCGCUCCUUGGUAUUCCUUGGAGCAUGCCUGUUUGAGUAUCAUGGAAUCUUCAAAGUAAAUCUUUUGUUAACUCAAUUGGUUUCUACUUUGGUAUUGGAGGUCUUUGCAGCUUCACACCUGCUCCUCUUUGUUCAUUAGCUGGAUCUCAGUGUUAUGCUUGGUUCCACUCGGCGUGAUAAGUUAUCUAUCGCUGAGGACACUGUAAAAGGUGGCCAAGGUAAAUGCAGAUGAACCGCUUCUAAUAGUCCAUUGACUUGGACAAUACUUUUAUGAUCUGAUCUCAAAUCAGGUAGGACUACCCGCUGAACUUAAGC
This 378-nucleotide unclassified non-coding RNA is filed under the name plant metagenome. RNAcentral's name for it is "partial contains 5.8S ribosomal RNA, internal transcribed spacer 2, and large subunit ribosomal RNA". The stretch from base 1 to 105 matches the Rfam family "5.8S ribosomal RNA", at positions 50 to 154 of the family's 154-position model. The record is from RNAcentral.